Molecule: ribosomal RNA, 467 nt
Filed under: uncultured Glomus
Lineage: Eukaryota; Fungi; Glomeromycota; Glomeromycetes; Glomerales; Glomeraceae
Description: SSU rRNA
Rfam family: Eukaryotic small subunit ribosomal RNA
Source: RNAcentral
AGCAGCCGCGGUAAUUCCAGCUCCAAUAGCGUAUAUUAAAGUUGUUGCAGUUAAAAAGCUCGUAGUUGAAUUUCGGGAUCAAUAUUUCGGUCAUGCCGUUGUUAUGCACUGUUAUCAUUGAUUUCUCACCUUCUAAAGAACCGUAAUGCCAUUAAUUUGGUGUUACGGGGAAUUAGGACUGUUACCUUGAAAAAUUAGAAGUGUUUAAAGCAGGCUCACGCUUGAAUACAUCAGCAUGGAAUAAUGAAAUAGGACAUCCGAUUCUAUUUUGUUGGUUUCUAGGAUCGAUGUAAUGAUUAAUAGGGAUAGUUGGGGGCAUUAGUAUUCAAUUGUCAGAGGUGAAAUUCUUGGAUUUAUUGAAGACUAACUACUGCGAAAGCAUUUGCCAAGGUAUGUUUUCAUUAAUCAAGAACGAAAGUUAGGGGAUCGAAGACGAUCAGAUACCGUCGUAGUCUUAACCAUAAACU